This 311-nucleotide small nuclear RNA is filed under the name Chinchilla lanigera (long-tailed chinchilla). Its description in RNAcentral is "7SK RNA (ENSCLAG00000021770.1)". It matches the Rfam family "7SK RNA". Rfam says of the family: 7SK was discovered as an abundant small nuclear RNA in the mid-70s but a possible function has only recently been suggested. Two independent studies have found that 7SK RNA binds the CDK9/cyclin T complex (known as elongation factor P-TEFb). The record is from Rfam by way of RNAcentral. Lineage: Eukaryota; Metazoa; Chordata; Mammalia; Rodentia; Chinchillidae.
GGAUGUGAGGGCGAUCUGGGUGUGACAUCUGUCACCCCACUGAUCACCAGGAUUGAUCAGCAGAUCUGGCUGGCUAGGAGGGUGUCCCCUUCCUCUCUUAACACUUCAUGUGUGUCCCUUCUGAAGCUGCACACUGGGUCAAAGAGGACAACCUCCCCCAAUAGAGAAGGGCCAUUCCUCAGUCAAGGGUAUAGGAGUAGGCUGCGCUCCCCUGCUAGAACCUCCAAAACAAAACAAAACAAGACAAAACAAAACAAAAUAAAACACGCUCACUUCACUGUGAAAGCUUGCCCAUAGCCGUUGAUCUACUG